AAAACAUUGUAUUAAGUUUAAUUUAAUAUAGGAUCUGCUCAAUGAUUUAUUAAAUAGCUGCAGUAUUUUGACUGUGCAAAGGUAGCAUAAUAAUUAGUCUUUUAAUUGAGGACUUGAAUGAAAGAUUUGAUGAGAAAUAAACUUUAUUAUUUAUAUAAUUAAAAUUUUAUUUUUAAGUAAAAAAGCUUAAAUUAUUUAAAGGGACGAUAAGACCCUAUAAAACUUUAUAGAUAUUAAUUUUAGUUUUUUUGGUUAUAUAAAUAUAUUAAUUUUAUUAUUUAUUUUAUUGGGGUGAUAAAAAAAAUUAUAAAACUUUUUUUAAAAUUUAACAUUAGUUAAUGAAUUUUUGAAUUAAAAUUUUUAAUUAAAGGAAAAAGUUACUUUAGGGAUAACAGCGUAAUUAAUUUUUUAAGUUCAAAUUUGAAAAUUAGUUUGCGACCUCGAUGUUGAAUUAAGAUUAAUCUUAGGUGCAAAAUUUUAAGUAUUAGGUCUGUU
This 495-nucleotide ribosomal RNA is filed under the name Pleotrichophorus blackmani. Its description in RNAcentral is "Pleotrichophorus sp. 1 MRM-2021c partial large subunit ribosomal RNA". Lineage: Eukaryota; Metazoa; Arthropoda; Insecta; Hemiptera; Aphididae. The record is from RNAcentral.